GUCCACGCCGUAAACGAUGUCGACUAGCCGUUGGGAUCCUUGAGAUCUUAGUGGCGCAGCUAACGCAUUAAGUCGACCGCCUGGGGAGUACGGCCGCAAGGUUAAAACUCAAAUGAAUUGACGGGGGCCCGCACAAGCGGUGGAGCAUGUGGUUUAAUUCGAAGCAACGCGAAGAACCUUACCUGGCCUUGACAUGCUGAGAACUUUCCAGAGAUGGAUUGGUGCCUUCGGGAACUCAGACACAGGUGCUGCAUGGCUGUCGU
This 263-nucleotide ribosomal RNA is filed under the name uncultured bacterium. RNAcentral describes it as "partial 16S ribosomal RNA". It matches the Rfam family "Bacterial small subunit ribosomal RNA", at positions 793 to 1055 of the family's 1533-position model. The record is from RNAcentral.